AGUGAACGCUGGCGGUAGGCCUAACACAUGCAAGUCGAACGGCAGCACAGUAAGAGCUUGCUCUUACGGGUGGCGAGUGGCGGACGGGUGAGGAAUACAUCGGAAUCUACUUUUUCGUGGGGGAUAACGUAGGGAAACUUACGCUAAUACCGCAUACGACCUACGGGUGAAAGCAGGGGAUCUUCGGACCUUGCGCGAUUGAAUGAGCCGAUGUCGGAUUAGCUAGUUGGCGGGGUAAAGGCCCACCAAGGCGACGAUCCGUAGCUGGUCUGAGAGGAUGAUCAGCCACACUGGAACUGAGACACGGUCCAGACUCCUACGGGAGGCAGCAGUGGGGAAUAUUGGACAAUGGGCGCAAGCCUGAUCCAGCCAUACCGCGUGGGUGAAGAAGGCCUUCGGGUUGUAAAGCCCUUUUGUUGGGAAAGAAAGGCAGCAGGUUAAUACCCCGCUGUUCUGACGGUACCCAAAGAAUAGGCACCGGCUAACUUCGUG
RNAcentral lists this ribosomal RNA (492 nucleotides) under uncultured bacterium. Its description in RNAcentral is "partial 16S ribosomal RNA". It matches the Rfam family "Bacterial small subunit ribosomal RNA", at positions 29 to 507 of the family's 1533-position model. The record is from RNAcentral.